GGGUUUACAAUUUCAUCUUAUCCAUCCUUAUAUAUCUACUUUUCUUAUUUAAUUCGCUUAUUUAUCAUAUUGCCAUGCAAACUUUCUUGGUCUAUCCUUAACCCAAUCCCUUGGCGAAAAGAGCCUAUUACUUAUUACCAGCUUGCUAUCCCUAGCCUCCCCUAGUAGUUAAUAAUGCAUAACGAACUAAAGCAAAAUACAAUUGAUCGUCCUACCCCUAUCCCUAGGCGGUAUUAGCAUAAUCAAGGAAUUCCCCCAGUUCAUGACAUUACACUAGUAAAAUAAGCAGUUACUGACGCGCCAUAUACACUUCGGUUAAGGAAAAACCGAAACAUAUAGACCUAUGUAUCUCGGUUUAGAAAAACCCGAGGUGGAAGGGGCAUAUUGCAUCGGUUAGUUGCAGACCCGAUGCUUAUACCUCCACACAGAGCUCUGCAAAUCGGCUUUUGGCUAACAUCGUUUUUGAAAAGGUCCUAUUGCAUCGGUUGGUAGCAGACCCGAUGCCUAUACACCUGCCAAAACUUGCAACACCUCUGCAACCCACGCUCUCCACUUAAAGCAUUAACAUGACUGGGUUAUUGCCUCAGGUAGUUGGUAGAACCGAAGCAUAUGGUUGGAGAUUUCGCUUUUUUAGGGAAUCGAGGCCUAUUAACCUCAUUUACAAUUUUUACUUUCGCGUAAGUUACCCUAGACUGAACAUCUUCUUUCUUCCUCGCUGAACCUGCAUUUUCUCUCUAGCUAGUUGAACGCAUUUUCUUCCUCGCCUCAACCUGCAUCUUUUUUCGCGUUUUCCUCCUCUCUCGCGACCUCUCUUCUUCAUCUUGUAUGCUUGAACUUUCUCCGUUUUCCCUACACUGCAUCCAUUUGCUACGAGAAUUGGUGCACCGUCGUUCUCCUACUUUGCCGCCUUCGUCCUUGCAAUUGUCGCCGUCAUCGCCCACUCUGUCGUCGUCGCACACUCUACCGUCGCCGCCCCCGUUGUUGUCGUCCCCUCCCUUGCUGCGCCUCCACCACCACUCAUUCACUCAUUUCUCACCGAUCCUCCACUGCCCUUGCUGUCGCGCCACCACCCCCCACCGCCCUUUGCCUACCCAUUCGGUUUUAGGUGCCGAAGGACCGAAUUGCUAUCCCUAAAGCCCUUCCUUUCGGUCCCCUUCCCUUAAAGCUCUAGGGUUUUCUGUCCCCUUUUCAGGUAUUUUGUGGGUUUUCUCUUGAUUCAUUGUUUCUAGAUUUUCUAAUGUUAAAAUUUGAUUCCUUUUUAUCGUUUCCCUUCUAUGGGUUGAUCGAAUUGAUAACUCGAGUCCUCUACUGGAAUUUGCUUUGAGUGUGGCGG
Molecule: long non-coding RNA, 1333 nt
Filed under: Vigna radiata
Lineage: Eukaryota; Viridiplantae; Streptophyta; Magnoliopsida; Fabales; Fabaceae
Description: long non-coding RNA (VRAD_LNC011181)
Source: RNAcentral